RNAcentral lists this long non-coding RNA (1574 nucleotides) under Triticum aestivum (bread wheat). Its description in RNAcentral is "long non-coding RNA (TAES_LNC020109)". Lineage: Eukaryota; Viridiplantae; Streptophyta; Magnoliopsida; Poales; Poaceae. The record is from RNAcentral.
GGCAGGCCGUUGGCGCUCAAGGCGGGCCAGCUGCGGCAGGUGCGGAGGUUGUCGAGGGCGGUGCCGGGCGCGGCCGCGGCGAUCCGGCCGCCUAGAGCGGCUAGUUCAAGUUUGCCUAGGUACGGUCGUUCCUACUCUGCUUUGCCUGUUUGAUUGCUAAGAUUGCGUGGUUAAUUAAAUUUAGUGGCUCGUUUCUCUAGGAAUCUGAAAUACUAUUCUGAUGUAUCUUCCUGAAGAUUCCCUUCGUUUUGUUGGGCGUACAACUUCAGUAUCAUAUAGGUAUGGCUUGUAAUCUCUGCAUAACUCUUAAUCGGUGGACUCGUUGGAAUAGUUGCUUGCUGGGCUAAUUAACGGCUAUGUUUGCACAUAUAUUAAUGAUUUUAUAUCCAGUCGAUUUUAGCAAGAUUAUACUACUUCCAAAUUAGGUAUAAAUAGGUACGGUUUUAAUCUGCUACAGUAACUUGUUAUUGGUGGCAUAUAAUAGAUAUAGGACUCGUAGUCUAGUUUUGGUGAACAUCCUGAUCCUGAAUAUGGCAUAAACUUCCAAUAUAUAUACCUUAUAUAGGUAGAGUUUCCAGUUUACCAAACUUUUUACACAUAUAAACUCCUCCUUGGAAUAUUUGCUUCUUGGCUAAUCAUUUCCCAUGCUUUCUACAGAUAUUAAUGAUUCUACUAUAUUUUAGCAAAGAUUAUACUUCCUAAACGGGUAUAAAAUUCCAAUACCUUCUAAGUACGAUUUCUAAUCUGAUGUGUAACUUUCCAUUGGUGGCAUCUUACUUAUUGGAAUAUUCUAGGCUUGCUGAAAGAUUGCGUGAUUAAUUAAAUCUGAUGGCUCCUUCUGCAGGAAUCUGAAAUAUUAUUCUGUUAUAGUAUCUUCGUCAAGAUUUGCUUCGUUUAAUUGGGCUAAAACAUCAAUACCAUAUAGGUUGGUUUCUAAUACGCAUAACUUAUAAUCGGUGGACUCCUCGUUGGAAUAGUUUUGCUUCUUGGGCUAAUUAAGGGCUAUGCUUUUGUACAGAUAUCAAUCACUCCAUCAAGUCAAUUUGGCGAAGAUUAUCUACUCUCAAUUUGGGUAUAAAUUUCACUUACCUUAUAGGUACGUUUCUAAUCUACCACGUAACUUUUUAUUGGUGGCAUCUUACUUAUUUGAGUAUUCUGUUUAUUGGGCUAACGAACUUUUUUGCUUCAUCUAUAGAUGUAUAGAUAUAGACAAGAUUCUGCUUAUGGGCAUAAAUUCAGUUUCCUUAUAGGUACAGUUUCAUAUCUGCCACUUUUCAUUGGUGGACUCUACCUCUCCACAUAGUAUAUGGCUAAAACUACUGGAUGCCUAUCUUUUGUAGGAAUUUGCUGGACGGUUAUGCAAGAGGCAGAUACGAGUACAUGAAUAUGAGAGAUCUAGAUAUAGAUGUAACAAGACUUUCAUCAGCACAUCGAUUUGCUGCUUAUACGCACAAGUUAUCAUAUGGUUGUAUGCCUUGAAAAUCUAUUUUGAUGUACUUGCUGUGUAAGACUAUAUCAUAUGGGUUUUAUGCCUGAAAAUCAUAUUUCGAUGCACUUGCUGUGUAAAACUAUAU